CCGGCACCUGCUCGCACGAGGUGUGUGUCCUCACACCAUCGUCCCGCAGCCGCCGCCGCCCGCCGGGGCUCCGUGGCCAGGCUCCCGCCAUGCUGCGGCCGGCCCGGGCGGGGGCAGCGGCACCGAGCGACGGCGGCCGGGCGGGAACACGCGGCCACGCCCCCUCCGCGCCUUUGGCCACGCCCCCCACUUGGCCACGCCCCCUUCCCUCUGGCCACGCCCCCUCCCCCGCCACCGCCCGGCUCCGGGAGCGGCGCGCGCGCGCGAAGGAGGCCGUGACGUCAUGGCGGGCCGCGCGGCGGCCGCGUGUCGCCGGAGCCUGUCGCGACAUCGCGAUGCGGCGCCGCGGCGCGCUCUUGCGCCGUUGCACGGCUGCAGUAGCUUGUGCCGUUGCAUUGCUGCGCCGUGUUGCACUGUUGCACCACGUUGCACUAUUGCACAGUUGCACCAAGUUGCAACGCAUUGCGCCGUUGCACUGCUGCACCAUGUUGCACCAUUGCACAGCUGCACUGUGUUGCAAUGCCACAUGGAUGCUCCAUGUUGCACAUUUGUGCUGUUCCGCCACAUUGCACUGUUGCAUCACAUUGCACUGUUGCACAGCUGCAUUGUUGCACGUGUUGCGCCAUUGCACUGCCACACCACGGUGCACCAUUGCACUGCAGGGCAUGGUGCACCAUUGCACAGCUGCUCCAUGUUGUACCAUUGCACUGCUGCACCACAUUGCACUGCUGUGCUGCAUUGCACCGUUGCACAGCUGCACUGUGUUGUGCAUUUGCAAUAUUGUGCCGCAUUGCACUAUUGUGCCGCAUUGCACCAUUGUGCAGCUGCACUGUGUUGCGCUGUUGCACAGAUGCUCCACGAUGCAUGUUUGCAGUAUUGCACCGCAUUGCACUAGUACCACAUUGCACUAUUGCACGGCUGCACCGCGUUGCGCCAUUGCAUGGCUGCUCCAUGUUGCACCAUCACACUUCUGCGCUGUGUCACACCACCGUGCAAUGGCACCACGGCGUCGUGCUGCACUGCUGGGGCACCGCGUUCGCUCUGCUGUGUUGCUGUGCGCUGCACCUGCACAUCAUGGUGCUGCGGGGUGGCCCCACUGCAUGACCUCACUGCACGGUGUCACUGCCCUGUGCUGCGCUGCUGCAUCGCUGAGCACGAUGCUUCCCCACGCCACUGUCCCGGUGGCGUUGCAUUGCUGCGUGCAGCCCUGCCUCGUUGCACCAUGCCUCUGCCCCACGCCACUGCAUGGCUGCACCACCGCUGCCCUGCUCCGUCUCCUCGUGCCACCACCGGGCUGCACCACACCACGAGGCCCUUGCCCAGGCCCUACUGCACGUGGGGCUGCCCCACGCUGCCCUGCUCUGUGCCCCUCACCCAAAAGCCCACCCCCAAGUGUCCCCAGCUCCAUGCCUGGGUGUCCCCCCCAACACAUCCCCACGCGUCCCCUUCCCCGUAGCCCCCCUGGUUCACCCCCAUGCCCUGGGGCACCUCCCGGUGUUCCCCGGGUGCCUCCCGUUGCAUCCCUGCAUCC
This 1531-nucleotide long non-coding RNA is filed under the name Anas platyrhynchos platyrhynchos (common mallard). RNAcentral's name for it is "lncRNA (ENSAPLG00000026034.1)". Lineage: Eukaryota; Metazoa; Chordata; Aves; Anseriformes; Anatidae. The record is from RNAcentral.